RNAcentral lists this ribosomal RNA (318 nucleotides) under uncultured bacterium. RNAcentral describes it as "bacterial SSU rRNA". It matches the Rfam family "Bacterial small subunit ribosomal RNA", at positions 29 to 361 of the family's 1533-position model. The record is from RNAcentral.
AACGAACGCUGGCGGCAUGCCUAACACAUGCAAGUCGAACGGGAUCCUGGUUUCGGCCAGGUGAGAGUGGCGGACGGGUGAGUAACGCGUGGGAACCUGCCCAGUGGUGGGGGAGUAACUGCGGGAAACGUGCAGCUAAUACCGCAUGAGCCCGCAAGGGGAAAGGAUUGAUCGCCAUUGGAGGGGCCCGCGUUCGAUUAGGUAGUUGGUGAGGUAACGGCUCACCAAGCCUACGANCGAUAGCUGGUCUGAGAGGAUGAUCAGCCACACUGGGACUGAGAUGCGGCCCAGACUCCUACGGGAGGCAGCAGUGGGGAA